Equus caballus (horse) is the source of this 6577-nucleotide long non-coding RNA. Lineage: Eukaryota; Metazoa; Chordata; Mammalia; Perissodactyla; Equidae. The record is from Ensembl.
GGGGGCGAGGCGCUAGUCGGCUUUGCUUCCCGUCCCCCUCAAUUGGCCGCUAGCUCUGUUUUGACUGCCUGUACAAAGCAAGCAGACGACGGGGGAGGGGGCGGUUAGGGACCGGAUUUGGGAAAGGAGGCAUCAGCCCCUUCCACUCCCCCUCGGCCCUCGCUGGGCCGCGGACAAGGGGCCAGGGUCUCUAAACGCGUUUGCUUGGCUAGAUCCGCAGCUGAACUUCCCACCGGGCAGAGGCCACAAGGUUGAGGAUGAGAAUGGGUCCUCCCGCAGAAACUCAGAUCAAGACCCGGGGUGGGGGGAUUCGCAGCCAAGCAGGAAUAGAGGCUCGAGCGGGAGUUGGCUGCAACCUCAAUCUGAGAAGGCCGGGCCUUCCCUAUCGCCCUCCUACCCUCACCUCCCCACCCGGAGCGGCGUCAGUCUUCGGGACCGGAGAGGGGCUGGGCGUUUCCUGAUUGAAAUGCGCCCUCGGCCUCCAAGAGGGAGCUCGGGCGGCCGCGGGGGUCCAGGCAGAGUGCAGGCGCCGCGGUCGCCAGGAGUCCGCGCAGGGGGUGUGCUCCUGGCGGAGCCUGGGAAGGUCUCUGCCCGGGUUUGCAGCCAGAGCCUCUGAAAUGUUGGGGUUGGGGGGGUGCGCAGGGCAGGUAAAUGGGUCUUGGGGCAUAUCCUUAGUUCCUGGCUUGGACUCCUGAUUAAUGAUUAAACCCUAGCAAUUGGUACAUCCAGGCUGGCGACUUGCCCUCUGAACCCUUAGAGCUGCCUCUGCCAUCAUCUGCCUUUGGGGUCUUCCUUCGUGGCCCUGCUUUCCUGAGGUCUCUGGGAAUCCUAGUCGUUUCUCAGUCCGUGGCAUUUCAUAAUUAAAAAUCAAACACCCUUGAAAACUAGGACUGACCAUCCACGCACAAUUUAGAAAACAAUACAAGAGAGCAGUGUCUGGAUUAUUCAGGCCUAGACAACUUUGCUUUAAAGAUACAUGUACAGAAAAAGAUUUUUUUCCUGGCCGGAAUUGCCCAGAUGUGCUAUUUGGCAGCCAAAACUCUCUGAGAACUGGCAUACCUCCCUCCUUUAUUUUCCCAACCUAGUCAGACAAAGAGUCUUAAGGUAGUAGCCCUUCUUACAAUAUUCUGGUAAGGCGUAAGAAAAAAUAGGAGUCACAUAAUUUCAUGUGGGACACCAAUUUGUUCAAAUCCAAAGAAAUUAAAGACAGCAGUAGAGGUACUUGUUAUGCAUUAUGCUUCGAGGAAAUUUUUAAAAAGUUAACUAAAAGAGCUAAAUAAAGUAACUAUCUCCUGAGUUAAAGCAGUGUUUCAAUCAUAGACUUUAAAACAUUUAAGCCAUAAAAUGGGCUUUCAUUUAAUACUUAAAUGGCUUCAUCGUUCAGUCCUGUCAAUCACAUCAAAUCCAAAUGUUCUCAGAUUGCGUAUGUGUUUAUCCUUUGACUCAACAAUUCCACUUUUAGAAAUCUGUUUAAAAGAUACACAGGCAAAAAAAAAAAUGAAAUGAUGAAUGUGUUAGUCUGUUUAUUGCAGCACUAUUUGUAAUAGCAAAAGAUUAAAAACAUAAAUUCCCCAUCAAUAAGGAACUGGUUGAAUAUAGCUUAAUCCAUUCAGUGGAAUACUAUUCAACUGUAAAAAAUGAAUGGCGAUCUCUCUCUCUACUCCUGUGGAGUGAUCUCCAGAAUACACGAUUCAACUGAAAAAAAACGAGGUGCAGAGAGAAUAGGCAAAUCCAUUGAGACAGAAAGAAGAAUAAAGGUUACUAAGGGCUGGCAGUGCAAGGGAAUGAGGAAUUAUUGUUAGAUGAGUACAGAGUUUUUGUUUAGGAUAAUGAAAAAGUUCUGGAAAUUAAUUGUGAUAGUUGCACAACAUUGUGAAUGUACUUAAUGCCACUGAAUUGUAUACUUAUAUAUAGUUAAAAUGGUAAUUUUUAUGUAUAUUUUACCACAAUAAAAAAAUUUAAUGCUGGGGCCGGCUGGAUGGCACAGCGGCUAAGUGCGCACGUUCCAGUUCAGCGGCCGGGGUUCACCGGUUGGGAUCCCAGGUGCAGACAUGGCACCGCUUGACAAGCCAUGUAGUAGGCAUCCCACAUAUAAAGUAGAGGAAGAUGGUCACGGAUGUUAGCUCGGGCCAGCCUUCCUCUGCAAAAAGAGGGGGAUUGGUGGCAGUUAGCUGAGGGCUAAUCUUCCUCAAAAAAAAAAAAUUAAUGCAAGGUGCAGGAUAUUGUGCAUUCUAUGCUAACUUUUGGGGCAUGUGUAUGUGCAUUUUCUAGAAAUGGAAGUAUAAAUUAAUAGAAAUGAUUAUCUUAGGAUAGAGAGAGGAUAUGGAGGAAGAGACAAUGAUGGAAGCUAGACCUUUCUAAAUAUGGCUUGUUUUAUAGCUCUAACUUUGGAACCAUGUAUAUUUUACAUAAUUAAAAACAAUUAAAUUUUAAAAGAACAAUGCAUAAAAAUUGAAAACUAAAACAAAUGAACCUAUUUAUCACAUUGGUGGCAUAACCAGAGAGAAUAAUUAUUUAAAGUGAUAUGUAAACACACUAUUUGGACUGUAGAUCUUUAGUAGGCUAUAACCUAAGGGUGAAAGGAAUCACAAAGAAGUUUGAAAUUGCAUUCAAUGGUGGUAACAUGAGAGAGAGAGAGAAGGAGAUAGAUACUAAAAAUCAUGAUUUCAGCCUAAACAAAAAGAGAUUAAAUAUAAAAUAAAAAUGUUGUAAGCUUCGAGUUAAAAAGCCAAUAUGAAAUCAGAACUUAUCUUUAUCUUAAAAAAAAAUGCAUUUCCUGGUCCUACACAUCAAAAAGACCUGGAAGUAGUGAUAACCCAACAAUAAUAAACACUCAUUGUGCCCAUAUUGUGGUCUCUAAAUACCAUUUCCCAGUAAAAGGAAUGUGAGCUCCUUGGGUAAGUGUCUAAUUUCAGGUCUGGAGCAGGAAAUAUGUAAGAUGAGUCUGGACUGUCUUGUCUUACUUGAAAGCAAGGAGGUUAUCAGACUAUUAGGGUCAAGUCAAAAGGAAACUGAAGCUAACUUGGAAAAGAUCUCACUAACCGAAGAUGAGAAAAUUUGAGUGUCAAAAAGAAAAAUGACUGCAAUGGAUUGAAAUGUAUGAAUUGUGUAAAAAUUUAAGAGUUCCAAAUGAUACUCCAAAGAAAAAUUAAUUUGUUAUUUUUGUAGGUUGUGAGGGCGCAGCUUAUUAUUUUAGAAACACCGAUCAAUAAAAUAAUCAAACACUUAUCCUGUCUGCUGGACAGACUCAGAGAAAGUAUUUCUUAAAAAAAAAAAAAAAUCACAGUUGCAAAUGCAGGAAUGAUAGAAUUAGAAAAAUCAUGAUUUUGCAAACUAAUGAAAUAAUGGACCCAGGCAACAGUUACCAAUGACUGCUAAAUCCAGUAAGUUAGGGAUUCUCAAUUGGGGGUCAUUUGGCAAUAUCUGGAGAUAUUUUUUUAUUGUCACAACAAGUUGGUAUAUAUGUGGCAACAGGGUUGAGGGUACCAGGGAAGCUGCUAAAUAUCCUACAAUGCACAGGACAGUCCCCCAUAACAAAGUAUUAUCUAGUCCUAAACAUCAAUUUAUUUGAGAAACCCUGCAUUAGGUUAACAGUCAAUGGAGGACUUUUUAAUGAAUGAUUCAAAUUGUUACCACUGGAACCUACUGUUUAAUUAGCUUCUCAAAAGCAGCACAACUAGAUAUUUUGUGUCUGCUUAAGUGAUACAAUUGGAAGCACACAGAAUCGCCAAUGAAAUAUUUUUCUCAAAAAAAUUGAAGCUGAAUGUAAUAAUAUCUCUAAAUUUAACUCCCAGUUCUAGGAACUAUGUACGGUAGUGAAACUUAUUAAAUGAUACCUCAAGAAUACAGUUAACCAGAUCUAGAACAUGGGAAGCACCACAGGACCAAUUUUCUUCAAAUAAAUGACAUGAGUAAAGGAAAAGAAGGCAAACUGUUUUGGUCCAACAGCAAAAUGCAAUGUUUAUACCUUACCUGAGAUUUUGAUUUGAACACAGGUGUAAAUUGACAUUUUUGAGGCAAUGGGGGGGUAUUGAAAGCUGAUUAUUAGAUAUUAAAGAUUUAUUUUCAGUUUGGGGGUGUGCGACAAUGGUAUCAUGAUUAUUUAAAUGUGAUCCAAAGUCUCAUCAUAUAGCAUCGAAAAUGUCUAGGAUUCAAUUAAAAAUUACUCCUCACACCAAAAAACAAGGAAAUGUCAAUUUAAAUGAGAAAAGAAAAUAAAUGCCCACCCAGCGACACUGAGAUGACAGAGGUGUCAGAAUUAUCUGGUGUGAUUUUAAGGCAGCCAUGAUGAAAAUACUUCAAUGAGCAUUUGUGAAUAUGCUUGAAACAAAAAAAUAAAAAACCUCAGCAAGGAAAGAGAAGACAUAAAGAAGAAGUAAAUGGUGGCCAGCCCAGUGGUGUAGUGGUUAAGUUCUCAUGUGCUCAACUUCAGCGGCUUGGGGUUUGUGGGUUCGGAUCCUGGGUGCAGACCUAUAUCAAGCCCUGCUGUGGGAGCAUCCCACAUACAAAAUAGAGGAGAAUUGGCAUAGAUGUUAGCUCAAGAACAAUCAUCCUCAAGCAAAAAGAGGAAGAUUGGCAACAGAUGUUAGCUCAGGACCAAUUUUCCUCACCAAAAAAAAGAAGAAGAAGAACUAAAUGGAAAUUUUAUAAGUGAAAAAUACAAUAAUCAAAAUUAUAAAGCUUAAUGGAUGGACUUAGCAAAAUGGAGAGGACAGAGGAAAAAAAAUCAACGAAUUUGAAGGUAGAAUAAUAGAAAUUACCCAGACUGAGCAGCAAAGAAAAUAGAUUGAAAAAGCAAACAACCAGAGUUUCAGGAACUUGUAAGACUAUAACCAAAAAAAUCUAACAUUUGGUCAUCAGAAUCUCAGAAGAAGAGGAGAAAGAGGGUAGAGCUGCUGAAAAACUACUUGAAGAAAUAAUGGCUGAAAAUUUGCCAAACUUAGCGAAAGACAUAAACACACAGAUUCAAGAGGCUGAGUGAACCUUGAACAGUGUAAACCCACAGGAAUCCACAUCAAUGUUCAUUACAGUCGAAUUUAUGAAUAUUAAAGAUGAAGAAAUCAGCAAGAAAGAUGACACCAUAGUGGUAGAGGAAAACAGUUCAAAUGACAGCAAGUUUCCCAUCAGAAAUUGGGGAGGCCACAAGGAAGUGGCACACAUUUCUCGAGUUCUGAUAGAAAAGAAUUGCCAAUACAGAAAUUCUAUCCCCAGUGAAAAUAUCCCUCAGGAAUGAAGGGGAAAUCAAGAUAUUCUCAGAUGAAGGAAACGAAGAGGAUUUGUCACAAGCAGAUCUACCCUAAAAUAAUGACUAAGGAAAGUUUUCUAAAUAGAGAGGAAAUGUGUAUGGUGUAAGAUAAUGGUCUAUAACAAAAGGGAACUCGGAACAUCAGGAAGGAGGAACAACAAAAAGAGUGAAAAUAUUGAAUAAUAUGGGUAAAUACAAUAGACUUUACUUCUCUUGAUUUUCUGAAUUAUGCUUGAUGGUUAAAGCAAAAACUAUAAUAUUGUCUUAUGUGCUCCUCAGUGUAUGUAGCAGAAAUAUUUACCACAAUUAUAUUAUAGAGGAGAGAAAGGCUCAUAAAGGGCGGUGGGGUUCUACACUGGUAAAAUGUUGAUACUGGUAGACUGUGAUAACUUAAAGGGGUAGCACAGGGAGACUUUUGUGGUGAGAGAAUCGUUCCCUAGCUGAUCAGUGGUAUUUAUCCAAAUCUACACAUGGUAAAAUGGCAUAGAAUUAUGCAUACACAUUGUACCAAUGUCAAUAUCCUGCAUUUUAUAUCAUACUAUAGCUACAUAAGAAGUAACCUUUGGGGGAAACUGGUGAAAGCUUAACAAAACCUCUCUGUACUUCCUUUUUUUAAUCUUUUUCUUUUUUGAGGUAACAUCGGUUUAUAACAUUAUAUAAAUUUCAGGUGUACAUGAUUAUAUUUCAAUUUCUCUGUAGACUAUAUCAUGUUCACCACUCUAAGACUAGUUAUCAUCCUUCUCCAUACACAUAGGCCCUAUUACUCCUUUCCCACUCCUCCCUCGCUCCUUCCUCUCUGGUAACUACCAAUCUAAUCUCUGUAUCUGUGUGUUUGUUGUUGUUUUUAUCUUCCACAAAUGAGUGAAAUCAUAUGGUAUUUGACUAUCUCCAUCUGAUUUAUUUCACUUAGCAUAAUACCCUUAAGGUCUAUCCAUAUUGUUGCAAAUGAAGAGAUUUCAUCUUUUUUAUGGCUGACUAGUAUUCCAUUGUGUAUAUAUGCCACACCUUCUUCAUCCAUUUAUCUGUAGAAGGGCACUUGGGUUGCUUCCACAUCUUGGCUAUUGUGAAUAAUGCUUCAAUGAGCAUAGGAGUGCAGAUAUCUUUCCACAUUCGUGUUUUUGUGUUCUUUGGGUAAAUACCCAGAAGUAGAAUAGCUGGAUCAUAUGGUAGUUCGAUUUUUUAUUUUUUGAGCACUCUCCAUACUGUUUUCACUGUUGGCUGCAUCAGUUUAUAUUCCCACCAGCAGUCUAUGAGGGUUCCCUUUUCGUCAUAUCCUCUCCAACACUUACUAAUUCUUGUCUGGUUAAUUAUAGCCAUUCUGACAGGCAUGAG